This 253-nucleotide ribosomal RNA is filed under the name uncultured bacterium. RNAcentral describes it as "partial 16S ribosomal RNA". It matches the Rfam family "Bacterial small subunit ribosomal RNA", at positions 524 to 776 of the family's 1533-position model. The record is from RNAcentral.
UACAGAGGGGGCAAGCGUUAUUCGGAAUUAUUGGGCGUAAAGGGCGCGUAGGCGGCUUUGCAAGUGGCGGGUGAAAUCCCUCGGCUUAACCGAGGAACUGCCUGCCAGACUGUGAGGCUUGAGACCGGGAGAGGUGAGUGGAAUUCCCAGUGUAGCGGUGAAAUGCGUAGAUAUUGGGAGGAACACCAGUGGCGAAGGCGGCUCACUGGACCGGAACUGACGCUGAGGCGCGAAAGCGUGGGGAGCGAACAGG